Molecule: ribosomal RNA, 344 nt
Filed under: Pristurus rupestris rupestris
Lineage: Eukaryota; Metazoa; Chordata; Lepidosauria; Squamata; Sphaerodactylidae
Description: partial 12S ribosomal RNA
Rfam family: Bacterial small subunit ribosomal RNA
Source: RNAcentral
ACAAUCCGCCAGAAGAACUACAAGUGAUAAACUUUAAACUCUAAGGACCUGGCGGUGUCCCACCCGUACUAGAGGAGCCUGUCCUAUAAUCGACACUACACGCUAUACCUCACCCCCCCUUGCCACCUCAACUUGUAUACCGCCGUCACCAGCUCACAAUGUGAAUGCACUGUCGUGAGCAAAACCAUUAACCAUUAAAACGACAGGUCAAGGCGUAGUUCAUGGGGGGGAAAGCGAUGGGCUACAUUUCCUUCACUAGAACACACCACCCGCACCGUGAAAUCUAUGCCCACAGGCGGAUUUAGAAGUAAGCUUGGCAAGACGUGCCAACCUGAAAUACGCCC